Molecule: ribosomal RNA, 497 nt
Filed under: uncultured bacterium
Lineage: Bacteria
Description: partial 16S ribosomal RNA
Rfam family: Bacterial small subunit ribosomal RNA
Source: RNAcentral
GACGAACGCUGGCGGCGUGCCUAAUACAUGCAAGUUGAGCGCUGAAGGUUGGUACUUGUACCAACUGGAUGAGCAGCGAACGGGUGAGUAACGCGUGGGGAAUCUGCCUUUGAGCGGGGGACAACAUUUGGAAACGAAUGCUAAUACCGCAUAAAAACUUUAAACACAAGUUUUAAGUUUGAAAGAUGCAAUUGCAUCACUCAAAGAUGAUCCCGCGUUGUAUUAGCUAGUUGGUGAGGUAAAGGCUCACCAAGGCGAUGAUACAUAGCCGACCUGAGAGGGUGAUCGGCCACAUUGGGACUGAGACACGGCCCAAACUCCUACGGGAGGGAGCAGUAGGGAAUCUUCGGCAAUGGACGAAAGUCUGACCGAGCAACGCCGCGUGAGUGAAGAAGGUUUUCGGAUCGUAAAACUCUGUUGGUAGGGAAGAACGUUGGUGAGAGUGGAAAGCUCAUCAAGUGACGGUAACUACCCAGAAAGGGACGGCUAACUACGUG